UAAAGAAUUUUUCAUUUGUAUUGUAUUUUAUUCGUAUAGUUCUAAACAUAUUUUCACUUUACCCUUUGUUUGGUUAUAGCUGACAAGUCUUUGUGUCCAUCGUCUGUCAUUAUUACUGAUGCUUAAUUAAGCGCUUGACGUAUUCCGGGAUCGCAGACAAGAAUAGUCUCUUUUUAGAUACUACAUGAAUAAACCACGUGAUGCCUUGCAAUCACUACCUUAAAUAGUUGAGAUAUUGAAUAGGUCAGAUUUUUAUCAAAAGUAGGUCAAACUUCCAGGUCAAAAUCUCAAGACUGAACACCGUUACAUCACAUGAAAGAACUUUUCUUAAAGAAUGUAUAUACAAAAUAUAAAAGCCUUAGCUUAAAUAGUUCAAGAGAUAUUUUUUAAAAUGAUCUUUCCUAUAUACUUGUAUGUAAACACUCAAAGUCAAUAAAAGCGUGCAAUCGAUGUCGCCGGCACUUUAUUAGAAAAUAAGCUAUACCAAAUCAUAUAUUUUGUGUGCUAUACAUUCAUGGACCCAUAGCCUCCCUAGGCAUGGUAUACUUUUUAUUUCCUCUUUACUUAUAAACUUGGUAGGAAGCGUAGAUACCCCAAUUUUGUAACGUACGUGACUGUCGCCGACUCAAUUUUUAAAAUUGAACAAGCAAAUAUAAAAAUCUGAGAGCGUGUUUUUAAAUUUUCGUUGCGUUAAUAUCAUUUGUAUUUCCUAAAUUUUCAUUCAAUAAAAGUUUAACAACUUUUGCGUAUGAUUUUAAGCAGUGGUGUAUAUAUUACUCCAUGUCGCCAGAUUAUAUUAUGUGAUCAUAGGGUCAAUUAAACACCCAAUGUAUGGACAAAGAUUUCGUAUUAUCUUUAUGUUUUUGAUCUAUUUUGGCGCUAAAAUAUUCAAAAACUGUGUGAAAAUAUUCAUCAAGCGAUAUUUGGAUGUGGCAUUGAGAAGAAGUCAUCAUAUUCUCAAAAUUUCGAAUUCUGAUUUUAGAAAUGUAACAUACGAUACACUAAUUUUUUUUAUGAAAACGUAUUUGCAGAGCAAAUGUUACCCCUUUUAUGAAAAUCUCGUAGUGUACAGAGAAUGAAAAUAUAAACAUUUCUUUUGCAGAAGUCAUUGGUUGGUCUGAAAUUUGACAAACGUGUCAAGAUGUAACAUUCGUGAUGUAACAUUCGUUACCGAGAAAUUAAUUAAAGGGAAUGAUAGAACAAUUUCCAGCGUAUUUUUGCUCUCUCUCUGCAUGAUGUGGUAUACGACAUGAACGUCUACUAUGAACAUUUGAGUUUGAAAGUCAAUACGUGUUAAACUUUGAGAAUUAGGAUUAAUUUUCUCUUACGAAAUGGCGCUUGUGAGAGUAGAAGUACAGAAUAACUACCAUGAAAAAAAAUGUAUUAAAACAUAAGAACAACCACGAAAAAA
Ostrea edulis (European flat oyster) is the source of this 1411-nucleotide long non-coding RNA. RefSeq lists it as uncharacterized. The transcript is spliced from 2 exons. The record is from RefSeq and is a predicted model, not a curated record. Lineage: Eukaryota; Metazoa; Mollusca; Bivalvia; Ostreida; Ostreidae.